UCAGGUUGACGCGAGCAGCACGAGUCCCACUUGAAGGUGGCGUCUUCUGAAAAGACGUGAAUGUCAACAAGGCCUAGGGCAACACAAAAGCUUUUGGUCUUCCAUCAUAUCUUCUAACUGGUUGUUGCUUAUGACCUACACACAGCGGUUAAACUGUCAAUGAAAGAGAAGAAAAGAAAAUCAGUGCCCACUCAGAGGGAAACAGCCAUGGGAACUUUGACUUCUGGACUGAGCUGAAGAUUGUGUAAAAUGUGGAACACAAAGUUAGGAUACAAAAUGUAUUAAAAAUAGAUGUUAUGAAUCAGCAAUAAAGUUUACCCAAGGCAUUCAUUUCUUUAAUGGUUGCUCAGAAAACAC
RNAcentral lists this long non-coding RNA (357 nucleotides) under Equus caballus (horse). RNAcentral's name for it is "lncRNA (ENSECAG00000047015.1)". Lineage: Eukaryota; Metazoa; Chordata; Mammalia; Perissodactyla; Equidae. The record is from RNAcentral.